UCAUACCCAAAUUGCCCUCCCCAUUCAGCCAUGUCAGCGUCCACAUCUGAUAAACCAAAAAAACAAAGAACCAAAAAACAAUACAUCCCUCCUCACAUUUCUCUCUCUGUCUUAACUUUCUCUCCACCGGCAGUGAACUCAAAGACUCCAUCUGUUCAUCUCCCUCUCAAAACCCACCAUUUCUAAAACCCUAACCUCCGUCUAGUCUUCCUCUCAAUCUGAAAAACCUAAAUCUCGUGAAGUCUAACCUGUUAUUUUCUUAUAUAUCCCCGAAAUCUCUAGAAUCCCGGGAAACCAACCCUAAUCUCUUCUUCGUUAGUCAACAACGUAGAUCGGAGAAUGUGGGAAAACUGUAGUUGCUCUCUUCUUCUCUGUCUAAAGAUCCAGCUCCGAAUCUCUGUCUUCAUCACCAUCAUCAGAUGGCAAUAUUAUCUCGUAUGUACCCCUGCAAGGAAUGUGCAGAUCACUUCAAAGAAGUUCUAAGGUACAAUAUCCCUACCCCAUCCCCCCAUCCAACAUCCCAAACCCCCACUCAACCCCCUUACCUACACAAACACCCACCAAACUGGUUGCAGUGCCCCACAGCCUUGUGGUUAAAAGUGUUGGUGUAACUAGCAAAAUUUGACAUACAGGGUAAUUUCAAGCUCAACUGAUCAUGCAUUCAUAUCUUCAGUUAUCCAUCUUAUUCUCUGUGGUAAGCCCCUCCAAUGGUGUAGGAAUAUUGUGAAAUGGCUAUUUCCUGGUAACAGAAUUCUUGACCCCAUAUUGGUGGCAUGUCUUUGUGUUCCUACUUCCUGCUACUAUAUUCAAGUUGAGCCAUUUUCAGAACACUAACAGAAGAAAUGGCCGAGGGAGGAGGCACUGCAUGGCAUAUUGAAAUGAAGUUCUUCCUAUUUUUGUUCGUUGUUGCCAUAGAAUUAGAGGCUGCAUUUGUCAUUUAGAAUGGAUUCAAUGCAGAAUAAAUUGUGUCACUAGCAGAAGUGAGGUUGAAAGGUGUUGGUAACCUUGUUACUUAAAUCCUAAUAUAAUCCUAUAAAUGACGCAUUUUACCAAAUCAA
Vitis vinifera (wine grape) is the source of this 1058-nucleotide long non-coding RNA. RefSeq lists it as uncharacterized. The transcript has 2 exons. The record is from RefSeq and is a predicted model, not a curated record. NCBI's taxonomy places the organism in Eukaryota, Viridiplantae, Streptophyta, Magnoliopsida, Vitales, Vitaceae.